RNAcentral lists this long non-coding RNA (268 nucleotides) under Lathyrus oleraceus (garden pea). RNAcentral's name for it is "Pisum sativum (pea) long non-coding RNA (PSAT_LNC041214)". Lineage: Eukaryota; Viridiplantae; Streptophyta; Magnoliopsida; Fabales; Fabaceae. The record is from RNAcentral.
AAGACUUUCUUGAGCACAAGGUCCCUCGGAACACACGAGACUUGACCUUCUUGUCGAAUGCUUUCAUCACUCUCUGCUGAUAUAACUGACCAUGACACAUGGCAGUUGAUCUCUUUUUCUUUCAGCUGGAUUCAACAUCAGUCAACUUGGGACUUUGAGGGUGCUAUUUCUCUUUUGUUUUUUCUUUCUUUUUCUUUCUUUUGAUUUCUUUUGAUUUCUUUUGAUUUUGCACCCUCUCUUUCUUUGUUGUUUUUUUUUUUUUUUUUUU